GAAGAGCCCACGCUUAGUUGAAUGCUUUGCUGUCAUUGUCUUGAAAAUUUUCAGACUUUUUGAGCAUGGGGCCUGCAUUUUAUCUUGGCACUGGGCCCUACAAAUUGCCUAUCUGUUCCUCUGCAGCCUAGUUCUGAAGUAUCCUAUUGUGCCUGAAAUGCCCGGAUAAUAACCAGAGGAGACAUCGACCAACAUUGACUCCAUCUGAGCUGGGAUGCUGACACAGUGCCCAUGCUUUCUAGCCUACCACCAGAUUUAACUCAGAGGUCCUGAGCUAGAAGCUAAGCUAACCACCAAGAAGGGUGCCUCUGGUCAAGUAAGGAACUACCAACCAUUCUAAGACCUGUUGGGCGAGCUUAUCAGGUUCCCAAUUUCUCCAGAAAUGCCUGGCAGUUUCAAGGAUCGAGAUAAGCACAGCUGUAAUCUACCAUGAUCCAGAGCUUAUUCACAGAUCACAGCUGUGUAAUUUCAGUACUGCCAACCCCAGGAGGUGUGUGGACCUUCAUCAUCCUACCUUUGAACUUCCCCUUCAGGGACAGUCUCCUGACACGACCUGCAUAGAUCCAGCGAUGCCCAGCUGUGGGGCCUAUAAAUACCAGGUUUGA
Molecule: long non-coding RNA, 605 nt
Filed under: Bos indicus x Bos taurus (hybrid cattle)
Lineage: Eukaryota; Metazoa; Chordata; Mammalia; Artiodactyla; Bovidae
Description: lncRNA (ENSBIXG00000028766.1)
Source: RNAcentral